GUGGCGGACGGGUGAGUAACACGUGGGAACGUGCCCUUUGGUACGGAAUAACUCAGGGAAACUUGAGCUAAUACCGUAUGUGCCCUUCGGGGGAAAGAUUUAUCGCCAUUGGAGCGGCCCGCGUCUGAUUAGCUAGUUGGUGAGGUAACGGCUCACCAAGGCGACGAUCAGUAGCUGGUCUGAGAGGAUGACCAGCCACAUUGGGACUGAGACACGGCCCAAACUCCUACGGGAGGCAGCAGUGGGGAAUCUUGCGCAAUGGGCGAAAGCCUGACGCAGCCAUGCCGCGUGGAUGAUGAAGGUCUUAGGAUUGUAAAAUCCUUUCACCGGUGAAGAUAAUGACUGUAGCCGGAGAAGAGGCCCCGGCUAACUUCGUGCCAGCAGCCGCGGUAAUACGAAGGGGGCUAGCGUUGCUCGGAAUUACUGGGCGUAAAGGGCGCGUAGGCGGACAUUUAAGUCAGGGGUGAAAUCCCAGAGCUCAACUCUGGAACUGCCUUUGAUACUGGAUGUCUUGAGUGUGAGAGAGGUAUGUGGAACUCCGAGUGUAGAGGUGAAAUUCGUAGAUAUUCGGAAGAACACCAGUGGCGAAAGCGACAUACUGGCUCAUUACUGACGCUGAGGCGCGAAAGCGUGGGGAGCAAACAGGAUUAGAUACCCUGGUAGUCCAC
This 668-nucleotide ribosomal RNA is filed under the name uncultured Brevundimonas sp. RNAcentral's name for it is "bacterial SSU rRNA". It matches the Rfam family "Bacterial small subunit ribosomal RNA", at positions 95 to 798 of the family's 1533-position model. Lineage: Bacteria; Pseudomonadati; Pseudomonadota; Alphaproteobacteria; Caulobacterales; Caulobacteraceae. The record is from RNAcentral.